GAGUUUGAUCCUGGCUCAGGAUGAACGCUGGCGGCGUGCUUAACACAUGCAAGUCGAACGAGAAUCAGUGGAUUGAGGAUUCGUCCAAAUGAAACUGAGGAAAGUGGCGGACGGGUGAGUAACGCGUGAGCAAUCUGCCUUGGAGUGGGGAAUAACGGCUGGAAACAGCCGCUAAUACCGCAUGAUACAGUUGGGAGGCAUCUCUCUGACUGUCAAAGAUUUAUCGCUCUGAGAUGAGCUCGCGUCUGAUUAGCUGGUUGGCGGGGUAACAGCCCACCAAGGCGACGAUCAGUAGCCGGACUGAGAGGUUGGCCGGCCACAUUGGGACUGAGACACGGCCCAGACUCCUACGGGAGGCAGCAGUGGGGAAUAUUGGGCAAUGGGCGCAAGCCUGACCCAGCAACGCCGCGUGAAGGAAGAAGGCUUUCGGGUUGUAAACUUCUUUUCUGGGGGACGAACAAAUGACGGUACCCCAGGAAUAAGCCACGGCUAACUACGUGCCAGCAGCCGCGGUAAUACGUAGGUGGCAAGCGUUAUCCGGAUUUAUUGGGUGUAAAGGGCGUGUAGGCGGGAAUGCAAGUCAGAUGUGAAAACUAUGGGCUCAACCCAUAGCCUGCGUUUGAAACUGUAUUUCUUGAGUGCUGGAGAGGCAAUCGGAAUUCCGUG
This 666-nucleotide ribosomal RNA is filed under the name uncultured bacterium. RNAcentral describes it as "bacterial SSU rRNA". It matches the Rfam family "Bacterial small subunit ribosomal RNA", at positions 9 to 673 of the family's 1533-position model. The record is from RNAcentral.